GACGAACGCUGGCGGCGUGCCUAACACAUGCAAGUCGAACGGUGACGAAGAGCUUGCUCUUCUGAUCAGUGGCGAACGGGUGAGUAACACGUGAGCAACCUACCCUUGACACUGGGAUAACAGUUGGAAACAGCUGCUAAUACCGGAUAUGAACUCAGCAGGCAUCUGCCGAGUUGGAAAGCUCCGACGGUCAAGGAUGGGCUCGCGGCCUAUCAGCUUGUUGGUGAGGUAGCGGCUCACCAAGGCGACGACGGGUAGCCGGCCUGAGAGGGCGACCGGCCACACUGGGACUGAGAUACGGCCCAGACUCCUACGGGAGGCAGCAGUGGGGAAUAUUGCGCAAUGGGCGAAAGCCUGACGCAGCAACGCCGCGUGCGGGAUGACGG
RNAcentral lists this ribosomal RNA (386 nucleotides) under uncultured bacterium. RNAcentral's name for it is "bacterial SSU rRNA". It matches the Rfam family "Bacterial small subunit ribosomal RNA", at positions 28 to 414 of the family's 1533-position model. The record is from RNAcentral.